UGGGGAAUCUUGGACAAUGGGCGCAAGCCUGAUCCAGCCAUGCCGCGUGAGUGAAGAAGGCCUUCGGGUUGUAAAGCUCUUUUUACCAGGGACGAUAAUGACGGUACCUGGAGAAUAAGCCCCGGCAAACUUCGUGCCAGCAGCCGCGGUAAUACGAAGGGGGCUAGCGUUGUUCGGAAUUACUGGGCGUAAAGCGCACGUAGGCGGAUUGUUAAGUCAGAGGUGAAAUCCCGGAGCUCAACUUCGGAACUGCCUUUGAUACUGGCAAUCUAGAGUCCGGAAGAGGUUAGUGGAAUUCCCAGUGUAGAGGUGAAAUUCGUAGAUAUUGGGAAGAACACCAGUGGCGAAGGCGGCUAACUGGUCCGGUACUGACGCUGAGGUGCGAAGCGUGGGGAGCAAACAGGAUUAGAUACCCCAGUAGUCCCUGAGCGGGCUGGCAAGGCGCAU
RNAcentral lists this ribosomal RNA (447 nucleotides) under uncultured bacterium. RNAcentral describes it as "bacterial SSU rRNA". It matches the Rfam family "Bacterial small subunit ribosomal RNA", at positions 355 to 825 of the family's 1533-position model. The record is from RNAcentral.